Long non-coding RNA from Armigeres subalbatus, 13646 nucleotides. RefSeq lists it as uncharacterized. Lineage: Eukaryota; Metazoa; Arthropoda; Insecta; Diptera; Culicidae. The record is from RefSeq and is a predicted model, not a curated record. The transcript has 3 exons.
CAUCGACUUCAAAGCCGCAUAUGAUACAAUCGAUCGGGACCAGCUAUGGCAGCUAAUGCACGAACACGGUUUUCCGGCUAAACUGACACGGUUGAUCAAAGCGACGAUGGAUCGGGUGAUGUGCGUAGUUCGAGUUUCAGGGGCAUUCUCGAGUCCCUUCGAAACCCGCAGAGGGUUACGGCAAGGUGAUGGUCUUUCGUGUCUGCUAUUCAACAUCGCUUUGGAAGGGGUAAUACGAAGAGCAGGGAUUAACACGAGUGGUACAAUUUUCAAUAAGUCCGUCCAGCUAUUUGGCUUCGCCGACGACAUAGAUAUUAUGGCAUGUAACUUUGAGAAGAUGGAGGAAGCCUACAUCAGACUGAAGAGGGAAGCUAAGCGGAUCGGACUAGUCAUCAACACGUCGAAGACAAAGUACAUGAUAGGAAGAGGUUCAAGAGACGACAAUGUGAGCCAUCCACCGCGAGUUUGCAUCGGUGGUGACGAAAUCGAGGUGGUAGAAGAAUUUGUGUACUUGGGCUCACUGGUGAUUGCCGAAAAUGACACCAGCAGAGAAAUUUGGAGACGCAUAGUGGCUGGAAAUCGUAAGUACUUUGGACUCCGCUCCGAUCGAAUAGAGUUCGCCGCCGUACCAAACUGACAAUCUACAAAACGCUCAUUAGACCGGUAGUCCUCUACGGACACGAGACCUGGACGAUGCUCGUGGAGGACCAACGCGCACUUGGAGUUUUCGAAAGGAAAGUGCUGCGUACCAUCUAUGGUGGGGUGCAGAUGGCGGACGGUACGUGGAGGAGGCGAAUGAACCACGAGUUGCAUCAGCUGUUGGGAGAACCAUCCAUCGUUCACACCGCGAAAAUCGGACGACUGCGGUGGGCCGGGCACGUAGCCAGAAUGUCGGACAGUAAUCCGAUGAAAAUGGUUCUCGACAACGAUCCGACGGGCACAAAAAGGCGAGGUGCGCAGCGGGCAAGGUGGAUCGAUCAGGUGGAAGAUGCCUUGCGGACCCUCCGUAGACUGCGUGGUUGGCGACGUGUUGCCAUGGACCGAGCCGAAUGGAGAAGACUCUUGUAUACCGCACAGGCCACUUCGGCCUUAGUCUGAAUAAAUAAUAAAUAAUAAUAAUAAGCAAAUUAAAGUCUAAUAAAGCGGCUGGGCCAGACAACCUUCCAACACACGUAAUUAAACAUAAUGCAACUAGGUUUUCCAAUAUCUUGAAUAAAUGUUUCAAUUUAAUAAUUUUAACAGGGCAAUAUCCUGAUUGUCUAAAAAUAGCUAAAGUUGUACCGGUAUUUAAAUCUGGGGAUCCAUGCUCGUUGGACAAUUACCGACCAAUAUCGACCCUUUCAAUCUUCAACAAAGUAUUUGAGAAAUUACUAGUUGAUAGAUUACUAAACUUUUUCGGAAGGCAUAAUUUACUUUAUAAAUUCCAGUAUGGUUUUCGACAGACUUGUAGUACAGCAACGGCAUUGACAGAGCUAGUCGACUACAUAGUAAGCAAGGUUGAUAACAAAAAGAUUGUUGGUGCCUUGUUCAUUGACCUAAAAAAAGCUUUCGAUACACUAAAUCAUGGCAUUUUAUUGGACAAACUUAACUAUUGUGGUAUUAGAGGUGUCGCAAAUAACCUAGUUGAAAGCUAUUUGAGUGGACGAUCACAAUAUGUUACUAUCAACGAAACCAGAAGCUUGAUAAAACCGAUAACAACCGGAGUCCCUCAAGGUAGUAAUAACGGUCCUUUGCUGUUCCUGGUGUAUAUAAAUGACCUAGGUAAUUUACCACUGAAUGGAACAGCUACAUUAUUUGCUGAUGAGACUGCAAUAUUCUACCCUGACACCAGCUUAUCGUCAAUAAUAAAUCAAAUGAACCAGGAUUUGGAAAAGUUAAAGGUAUAUUUUGCAAGUAAUCUACUGUCUUUGAACAUUCAGAAAACUAAAUAUAUGAUCUAUAAAUCUCCCAGAAAAAUAUUACUUCAUUAUGUUGAUCCUAAAUUUUGGAAUACUGUAAUAACUAGACUCAUUCAAAUACCUUGGCGUACAUUUGGACUCUACAUUUUCUUGGGAAAUUCAAAUCAAAAACAUCGAGAAAAAAGUAGCAGCAUUAUUUGGAGUUCUUUACAAAGUGUCUGAUUUUGUCCCAGCACAUUUAUUGCUAAAGUUUUACUAUGCACAUAUCCAUUCACAACUUCAAUAUGUAAUAAUAACUUGGGUCGUGCAUGUAAGUCCAAAUUAAUGAGGCUUCAGACCUUGCAGAACAGAUGCCUUAAAAUUAUUUUGAAAUUACCUCUGCUAUAUCCAACUAUUGAAUUAUAUAGUAAUAAUACGCACAACAUACUACCGCUUUUGGGUUUAUGCGAACUACAAACACUAAUUAUGGUACACGAUAUUAUCAACAACGGAGCAUAUUCGAAUAUUAUUUUACCUACUGGGAAUCAAUCCCGUUUCACGAGACAGGCUGGAAAUCUGGCACUCACUAGGGCAUCUUCCAAUCAUGGUCAGAGACGCAUUUCAUAUGUUGGACCCUCCAAAUUUAAUUGUCUACCUAAUGAACUGAAAAUGAUAACCGAUAAAUGCCAAUUUAAACUUAGUGUUAAAAAUACACUUGAAAAGAAAAAUUAAUGAAUUUAUACUCUGAGCCAUUUAUAACAUUACAAGCCGUCAAAAUAAAAAUUCUUUAGAACCAUGAGAAAAUAUUUCCAAUUUAGUCUCAAUUUUUUUUUAAUAUUCUAAUUUAGUGCUCCACUGGGAUUCUGGAAGUUAAUUAGCAUAGAAUUGGUGACAGAACUUAAAAUUAUUUAACUUACAUCUAGGUAAGUGAAGAAUCUUGUCCUCGAUAGUAUAGUGGUCAGUGUCCCCGCCUGUCACGCGGGAGAUCGGGGUUCAAUUCCCCGUCGGGAAGCCAUAUUACAAUCAAAUAUUUAACAUACAUACAAAUAUAAACAGUUUACAAUACAUUCAACAAAUUAAAAUGAUCGUCGUUACUGUUCUGUUACUGUUACUGUUCUGGGUACUGUUUUUAUGUUGAUAUUAUUCCCACCGUGAAAAAGUAACCCUUUUGACGUAAACUACAUCUAAGGGGAUGAAUACUCGAAAACGGAAAUUUCAAAAUCGGGGACCGUCACGAAAUUAUGUAAGAUUUGGAACGUUACCACAGAGAACAGACAUGGAUGCUCGAACAAAAUUUCGUUAAAAAGGUGUGUAAAGAUUUAAAUCGCACCUCACCGCCACCAACACAGGCUGCCUGACAUAAAAACUCAACCUCACUAAGCGAUGGCGUUAGCAUACACUACAUAAACAAUGUAGUGCUGCCAUCUAGGGGAGAGCCUAGGAGCAAUUCGGAAUGAACACUAGCGCUAAAAAGCAAAACACGACAAUUUUUAACCAUAUCCAUCAUCACACUAGCACCGCGCAACGGAGGCAUAACGACAUACUUAAAAAUGACCAGUACAAACUUUUACACAACCACGCGAAUGAAGAUGAACGUCUGUUCUCUGUGACGUUACUAUGAAGUAUGACUCUUUAUAGUACGUUCAGAUUAUGAGCUAUAUCACUUGAUAUAGAGCAUCUUGACAUCAGUGUUUGUACAUCUAGUUUUCACUGGAAAUAAUGCAUAUGGCAUCUCAUGGCAAGAUUCGCUAUAUCAAGUGAUAUAGUUCAUAAUCUGAACGUGCUAUUACGAAUGUUAAGAAAAAUGAAUUGAUGAAAUUAGCCUAAAUGUCUGCAGUUAACUGUGUAUAACAAGUUUUUAACAGUGCCUAACGAAAUUCAAUUUUUCAUUAGUUGAGCGCCUAUAUUCAAUUGUUUUUAAUAGUUGUGCAAAAUCUUAUUGAGUUUGUCGAUCGAUUGAUACAAAAAUCAUCAAAAUCGGUUAGAAGAUGGCCCAUAGAAGAAGUUAUUAGCCCAUACUUCCUGACCACAUUUCGUGACGGUCUCAAAUUUGAUUCUGCAGAAUGACCCCCCUAUGUUUUCCCGAAGGACGUAUUCUACGUAAACAAAAAAUCAUCAAGUUUUGUUUCAGUAUUUUUAGUGAGGAGAUCUUUCGGCCCUAGGCUGGCUUGUCUCCGAAUAAUUUCAUCGAGUUUUAAAAAUGUCAAUUAUUUAUAAAAUUUGGGUCAAAUACACCACGAGCAGCACCGUAAAACAGCGUCAAAAGGCUCGUCAAAUGGAUCUCGUGAAAUUUCGUAACAUGUGCUUUUUGAUUGCAUCCUUACUAAUUUUCCACUCGAAAUAUAAUGUGAAAACAAAACAAAACUCAAACUAAGUUUAUUUUUUUCCCAAAUAAUUACAAUGCUUCUUAAUAUAUUAUGCAUCUCGAGAAAAUAUAGAAUAUUGCGGCUUCCGGCUGGUUACUUCACAGGUAAUCGCAACAGUCACUAAACACGACAGGGUCAACGACAAUCUUACAUAUCGUAUGCACUUGUCAUGAUAAACACUCUCCAUGUACUCAGUGACUCCGGUUUCCUCUCAGUAAUACAAUCGAACAUUGCUGUCAUUUGACGAAAAGCACGUUGUUUUGCUUUAAGCGGAAAAAAUCUCCCUAUCUUUCCCUAUCUAUCCCUAUCUUAAGGUCUGAGGGAAGCUCUCUCGCGGUAGAGCGCUAUUUUCAUACUAAAAUGUCUAUAACUCGGAAUUGGGAACAAAUUUCGCUUAUCCCAACUGACAAUCUCUUUGGAAUUUAUCAUGUUCCUAGAGAAUUUUGUGGAUGAUGCUAAAUGCCCAAAACGUGUCUCACAUUUUUGAACACAUACAGACAUCACCUCAAUUCGUCGAGCUGAGUCGAUUGGUAUAGGGGGACAAGGGGCAAUAUGGACACCCUAAGGUGUUAAUCAAUAUUAGGCGAUUUGAAUUGAAUAUAAUUCGUAUGUCUAGCAAUUACAUGAUACUAUUACUCGGUAACUACCAGUUCUGUUUUGAAUCGUAUUGAAAAUAAGGCAAUUUCAAUCAAAUAGGACGAUUUUGUAAUAGUUAAUUUUUCACUACUCUCGGGAAGGUAGCGGGGUAGAUUGGACACCCCCAUGGGGCAGUAUGGACUAGAGGCCUGAAUAAGAGAAACGCGGAUAGAAAAUAUGACUCUGCCAACACUGCAUUCAAUCUUCUUCAUCAAAGAACAACACAUGAAAAGGAAGAAAUGGUUUAUGUAGACAAAAUCUCACAAUCCGCUAUUUUAUGUGUCCACACCACCUAACAAUAGAAUCCAAUAAACAAUGGAAUUUUAUUUCAUAAUCUAUAAAUGACUUGCAUAUAUUAUUGCAAACUAAUGUAAAAUACAUUCAAUUUUGUUUAUUUAAAAAUUGCAUAAAAUCGAAUUUGGCCGUUUUCAGUAUUUGAGCCAAUAUUUUGGCUGCUUGACAGGUCUCCUGCUCGAUUGGCUGCUGUUUUUGACGGUUCGAUUGGCGGCACAUACCUAUCCGCGUUUCUCUUAUUCAGGCCUCUAGUAUGGACACCCUUAUAAAAUAUGAAGAAAAUUAUCUUACUUGUGAUUAUAUGCCAUUGUAACCUAUUUUAUGGAUCAUCCUACAUAAAUAUUACCCAAUUGUUUAUCUUCCUGUCAUGAUUUUGUAUGAGACACCUAAAAUUGUGUUUGGAUCAUCAACAUCCGCCCUCACGAGAGGAGCCGGCCAAGGGCCGAAAAUCUCGUUAAUAAAGAUAUAAAAAAAAAAAAAAUCAACAUCCGAAAAUCUAUUUCCCUCUUCUUAAGCGAGGUCAUAUAUGGUCGUUUUCUAUAUUAAUUCCAUGGUGAAUAGAAGAAGAUUGAUUACGUAACGCAAAAAUAUGCCACUUUCAGCCGGCCUCAUACAUGUAUGUCGGACUUUUUGUAUGAAGCAUAUGAUUGUUUUUAUAUGGAUCCUCACACUUAUGGCAAGACCCCUUCUCAAUCGUCUCUACUCUGAGCAUUGCAUAAUCUAUGCACACUCUUAUUCACUCUACUGGCAUCGCCAAUCCUUCCAAUGGGUUGUACCGAUCAACUUGCCAACGAGAUUGCCAAAUCUAUACAAAACACUUCCUUUUUUUUGUUGCACUUUCAGCGACUUUUAUGGUAUAUAUAUGCUUCUAUGGUAUAUAUGUCAUGUACUGGAACUUUUAUAUCGAUUUAUAAUUCCACACCAUGAUAACACGGAAAUAACACGAUAUGAAAGCCAAGUUCAAUGAGUUUGAGGUAAUGUUUUAAUUUUUAAGGUGUCAGUUCUACCAUAUAGGGGAAAGUGGUGCAAGAUGGCCAUACUAAGCGGUAACCCUUGUAAAAUAGUGACACUGCUUCAAAUUCUGCUGAUUUCUCCAUGAAACACCUUUAUGAUGACCCGUCUUUGACAUAAGUAUCAAUAAACACUGAUUAAUAAAGUUUCAGUAUCUUAUAAACUGGUUUUAAAAAGGCUGUUUUUAUGAUGCCUAUAUUUACCAUAUGGGGCAAUAUGAUCACCCCCUCGGGGCAAGACGAGCCUGGACCAAAAACUAUAUCAAAAGUGUGCUAAAUUUAUUUAGAAUAGGGGACACAUUUCUUGCACUUCUAUGGAUUAUGUUCAAAUGAUGCUUCGUUUAAAAAUGUCGUAUUUUAUGUUGAUUUCUUGACAACUGGCACUACGACAAUAUCAGAAUUUGCCUAAAAUUAAUUUCUUCUGUUAAACCCAUAUCCUUUGUUUUAAAUCAUCUCUGAUUCAAGCAGAAACUAUUUUGAUCAUUUUUUAAAUGCAUUUAAGUGUUAGGCGACUCUUAAUCCUGGAGAUGACCUUGUUCCUAUACAGUUGGCAAUACCGCCCCAAGCCGACGUGUAUACAAAGAUUUAUAUCCUAUCGAACCUAAUUACUGUGAAUCUCCUCAAAUUAUUAUUGUAUAUAUGCUAUAGUUAUAUAAAAGCUUCGGUAAAUAUCAAUUUGUCCUGAAAAAUGAGUAAUUUAGGCUUCAAUUGUUAAAUUAUGUAACUAGAAAAUUAUAAGAAAAUUCGAAUUUCAACUAAACCAUCUUCAAAUCAAUAUUACAAGAACAAGUGAGGUUGUCAAAGUGCAUUUUUCAGUUGUAUAGCCCUUUUACAUUAUUGUGAACCAUCCCUUGUAAUAAUAAUGUAAAUAUAAUGCUCACUUGAGGCAUAAUUAACGUUGGCUGUCUUGCCCCAUAUGGCCAUCUUACCCCACUUUCCCCUAGAGUGUUCAGUUUGCCCCAACAGGUGAACAAAUUUAAAAACUGUUAGAAAUUUUGUAAAAAUCAAGGAAACUUGUCACAAAUGCAUGCCAGAGCACUAUAAAUAACAGAAUUUUGCUAUGGGAUGACCAAUAAUUGAGAAAUCAUCUUCUAUGGUAAAGUAAAGCUUAUUUUAUGGGAGGUGAAACUUAUAACUUUUAACCAUUUGGAAGACAUUUUAACUUUUUUGUCAAAUUUAUGCGCUUAGAAAAUAAAGCAAUGGCUUCUACGCUUUAAAUUAGUUGUUUAUGAAAGGAUUAUAGAGUUCGCUGCACUGAAAGUAGAAAAAUGAUUGAAUUAACAAGAAUAUUGGGGGUGUCCAAUCUACCCCGGGUGUUCAUAAUGCCCCCUGGUCCCAUGUAUAACACUAUGGGUCUCCGAGCCUUCUAUAAAAAGUUCGGUUUUGCAGCAGUUCUAUAAUCUUUCCGUAUACUUGGCAUACGAGAAAGGCAAAACUGAACCUUUCGCGAAUUGGUUGACGGGACAAGUUUAAAUCAAAAAGAGAUGCAACUCUGUUGAAUAGUCUUAGAAGACCGCCGAUAGCACCGAACAUACCGCAGUUCGUUCGAUGCAUAGGCGUCCUGAACAUCGAACUAUUCCUAAGGGAUCGGGGUUGCACGUGGUAGUUAAUUUGUUCCAGAAGAGAAGGGUAGUCGAGUCGUCCUUGUAGUAGAUCUGCUAUCAGUAAUGCCCUCGUUGUGCUUCGGCGGACGAAAAGAGGUUCCAGAUCAAUCAAACGGCAACGGCUUUCAUAGAUUGGAAGACGGAAGGGGUUUUGCCACGAUAAUCUGCGCAAUGCGAAUCUCAGAAAACGACGCUGGACGGAUUUAAUUCCUUCGGCGCCGUUAUUAUAGUGUGGAGAUCAGACGACCGAGCAGUACUCCGGAACGGAACGAGUCAGGCAACAGUACAACGACUUUAGACAGUAAAUAUCCGUGAAUUCUUUGGCAAUCGUGAAGAUGAAACCUAAAACCUUUGAUGCUUCGCUGACAACAUAGGAAACAUGCGGCUUAAAGCGAGAGAUUACCGAACAUUUAGAUGGGUUAACAUCCAUUCGGUUAAGCACGCAUCAACUUGCAAAAGGCAUCCAGUUGGCGUUACAGAGAGUGACAGUCUUCAAUGGAACAAAUUCGGAGUUACAGUUUGAGGUCGUCUAUAGCAAAGCCUUGAUUGUCAGAAUGGCGUCGUUGAAAUAGAUCAGAAAUUUCAGUGGUUCCAGGUGACUACGCUGAGGAAUGCCUGAGGUAGCGGCAAAAUGGUUCUACUGACUUUACUAACCAAGGUAAGGCUGCGACCGGUUAAAUACGACUGGAACCAUCACAAGAGAGAACCAUUGAUUCCGAGGCGAUCCAGUUUAGCGAUAGCUAUGCGGUGAUUCAAUUUAUCAAAGGCUGCUGUUAGGUCGGUAUAGAUAACGUCCGUUUGACUGAGAUCCACCAUGUUGCUGUUGAUGUAGGAUGUAAGGCACAAAAGAUUUGUGGCAGUGGAACGUCCGGACAUAAAUCCAUGUUGGUCGUCACUAAUGUUUACAAUGGGCGAGUGGAGGUUCCAUUUCCAUCACUAGCUCGAACAACUUGGCAACAGCAGACAAUGAGGUGAUACCACGGUAAUUUGCAACGUCCCGUCUGUUACCUUUCUUAUGAACAGGGAACAUGUGCGCUAUCUUCCAACAAGACGGAAAAAUUCCUGACGUAAUCGAAAGUUGGAAAACAUGGAGUAACGGAGUAAUAAUGCCAUCGAUAUUCGUUUUCAGAAAUACGGAAAGAAUUCCAUCUGCUCCGGGGUUGUAGGAUGUUUUCAGUUUCAAUGCAGCUUCGCGAACUAUUCCAACAUUGAUAUCAACCAUGCUUAUAGCUUGGCCCGAGAUAGGAACGGAGCUCAUAGCAUAUCGUAUUUGGUCUUCUGAUAAUCUUUCAUUCCUAAAAACACUGACACGAAUUUUUCUGCAAACAGUCUACUGAUGUCCUGAGAAUUAGACGCCAAAAUUCCGUUAAGCGUCAUUCGCGAAGGAUUCAUUUCGUUGCUCUUUUACGUACUUCCAGAACUUUUUAGGAUGUGUUUUCAGCUUCCUUUGCAGUCCACGCUGUCUUCUUCUUCUUAUAUAAAUAAAAACAAAUAUAUAAAACCCAAUUUAAUUCACCGAGUAGUGAUACUGCCUUUCUCCCAUUUAGCCAAGACACCAACCUUAUAUGGAACUAAUAUAGUGCGAUGUACCAUUUUCUUAAUAACUUCUAAACGCAACGGUCGAUCGUUACCAAAUUCAAUAGUGAUCAACUAGAAUUUGCCCGAAUGCAACUUAUUGCGAGAAAAUCGGUUAAAGAUUACUACAACAAGUUGUACGCAGAAAAAUAUAGCUUCAUUGAAACUAAAAUUACAAUGAGUACAAUCAACAAACUGUUAAUGCAUAAAACUAAUAAAAAUAUUUUUUUACAUUUAUUCACCAAACUUGUUGAAUCAACAAAAUUUGAAAUCGGAAACAAAAUUUGCUAUCCGUCGCUAUUCCUAUUUUCGAAUAAGGUUGAUUCAAGUUAUCAAUUUUGUAGAAACAAUAAUUUACAUUGUCAACUUAAGGAUAUUUCACUUUUAAAUCUGCCUGUUUGAACAAAAAAAGGCCUCCGCCAUGUUUGAACAAAAGAAUCAUAUAUUAAUAUGAGACGUUAGGAAAAAAUAUGUUUUACUAUUAUUUAUAAUAAAUAUUGACAAAUAGAAAUAAUGAUGAAACACAAGUGUGUAAGUUUCCAAGGUAAGUUAAUAAAUUAUUGUGCUUUCAACUUUGUACCUUUUCAGAAUUUUCAUAAUUUUAUUCUCAUAUUUCUUUCAGAUUCGUGCUUAGGUGAAACUCAUAAACAUAAAUGGAUGAAGAUGAAAAAUAUUUUUCUCGCAUUCCUGUUCGCUUAAAGAACGAAGGAUGGAGGCAAAAAUACUACAACAGAAGUAUGACAUAUAAUGCAAUUCAGGACAAAAAUGCAGUAAAACAAUUUAUGUUUUUAUAAGAAAACAAUGACAACUGAAAUAUAAAAACCCAAAUUUAUCCCCCAGUGGUGAUUAUGCCUUUCUCGAUUCAAUGUGUUGAAUUCGAAUUAGUAUGGUAAAUGCAACGUAAAUUGCCUACAUUUAGGCGGUUAAUAGCUUUGAUGCGAUUAUAUCACGCUGCUUAAAAAUAACUCAACUAUGAGAGUAAUGGAUUGCGUCACGGCUAAAUUGAUUAAUGAUUUAAUAUGUGCAUGUACACAGCGUAUUUGAUAAAAGAAAAAUAGAAAUAUUAUUCAAACCGCAUGAGAUAUUAGCAAACAAAAACAAUAGUGUCCAACUAGGAAAGUUUCUCCGUCGAAUGAAACUAGUUGCACUCGAAUCGGUCAAGUCCUUCUAUAUGAAACGUGUUUAACAAUAAAAAAUUCCCGGGGCUACACACACACACACACACACACAGUCAGACAUGUGCUCAGUUUUUCGAGCUGAGUCGAUUGGUAUAUAACACUAUGGGUCUCCGAGCCUUCUAUCAAAAAUUGGCUUUUGGAGUGAAAUUAUAGCCUUCUGGUACAACUUUGUUGUACGAGAAAGGCAAAAAUCCAGGCUUAGAAAUGAAAAAUACAAUAUUUUUGAAACAACAAAUAGAAUUUUUGCGCCGACAAAAAACAAUAUUUGUUUCUACAAAAUUUUAUUUUUGUUUCUGGCAUGUAGCUAAGGUGAAUCAUUUUUAGAAACAACAAAAUUUAUUUUCGUAGUAACUGAUCAUAUUUUUUCAAAUCAAUAAGCAUUACUGGUAAGCCGUGAGUCAACUGCGUGUGCUAGUUUAACCACGUAGACCAACAAUUUUACUCAUAUUCUUAUUGCACCGAACAUUGUUUUCGCUAAUAAACAUCGUUUUACAUAGUUUUUCUUCGAAACAAAAAAACAUCGAAAUUUCGUAUGUACAAAAAUAGUGCCGGUAAAAUGAACACUUCCGGGUGGUAAAAUUAACAUCGAUUCUAAAACCCUUUUAUAACAUUUAAUUUACAUUUUUUCAACUCCAGCCCCGUAAAUAUAACCAAUUAAGAUUACUAGAGCGUUUUGAAAAAUCUGGUAUAUCUUUUGAAAAGCUCUUAAUUAUCAAAAUAAUAAAAAAAAGAAAAAAAAUUUUGGAAUAUCAUCUAUUUUGGAAUUAAAUUUAGAUAUUCAAAGUUUUAUCUUGAUUAUUUGAUAUGGUUUGUUUCUUGAACUUCCGCUUCACAAUCAUAAAUUUGUAUAAGUUUGAUACAAGUGUUCAUUUUACCUGCAUACAUGCCAUGUGAUAAAUAGCUCUUCCUAUAACGAUGCAAACCAAAAAUUUUACUAUUCACCCCUGCAACAUCUUUGUGAAGGUUGUCCUAUUUGCCGCCGUAGUUUGAACCAAUUUUAUGAUGAAUUUAUUAAGAAUUAAAGCUUACGGAAAAAUGGUUGAAAAUUACAUCAAAUUUUUACGGCUUCGUUUGAUAUUUUGGAUAUUAAUAGCUAUUCGCUCGGUCUCAAAACUAAAAUAUUAGCUCAGGUACCUUAUGUUAUUUAGAAGAAAACUUGUGCAUGGUUAACAUACGCCUAAUUAGUGUUUCAAUCUCAAUACAGCCAACUGUUCAUUUUACCACCCCUGUUCAUUUUACCUGCUUUUCCCCUAUAUGAAAAGUAGUCUAUGUGUUUCUUAGCUUUUGUGCACACAAAUACACACACAUACACACUAACAGAGAGACAUGUGCUCAGCUUGGUAGGUUUUCAACUUAAUUGAGUAUAUAAGUAUUCGGAGUGAAAUGAUACAACUUUGUUAUACGAGAAAGGCAAAAAUAAGUUAGCAUUUCCCUAGAGGCAAUAUAACUCACGAAUGGAACCACCAAUUUGCAAAUUUUCCUCACCAAUCGAUUCGUCAAAGGCUCUUCUUGUAGGGAAAAACAAUGGAGGUAAUAAACUAUAUAAACUUCGACAUCAAAUGUGUUGGUUAUUCUAUUAAAGUGAAAUACACUUGGAUUUGGCCCUACUGGUCAGUAACAAUGACUUCGAAGUGUAAAACACUUUCUUUUCGAUCGUUUUGUUUUUGACAGCGAAGUGUAUUUUGAAACCGUCUGUCAAAGCAAUAGAGGUAAUAAACUAUAUUAGGAUAGUGCACUUGUGGUUACAGUAUUCCGUGUAUAGUAGAAAAUCGAAAAUUUGUUUUCAAUAAAAUGAAAUAUCUGCAGUUAUCAGACGUCGCAACUCAUUUCUGAUUAGUGCGCAUGAUAGUACAUCCAUGCGUGCAUGAUGCGCACCAAUAAUGAAAUAUUUCAAAUUGUCGCGACUCGCGAGUGCUCAAUCGCGCGGUCCGGUUUGGUGCCGGCCCGACAAUAGUGGUUUCAGAGCAUAAAGAACGCACCACGUUCUCAGAAGCAAAACGGAGUCUUUCAAUCAGAAAGUACAAAAGAUAUUUUAGUUACUAGAUAAUGAUUGUCGCUAGAGAUGUCGCAAAUUAAUCGAUUACUUCGAUUAAUCGAUUCAUCGUUGUGAUAAUCGAUUAAUUUUGAAUCGAUUAUUACCCAACGAUUAAUCGAUUCAAUAAUCGAGAUGAAUCGUGAGUAAUCGAUUAGUUACUAAUCGAUUAAUCAGAAUUUUACGACAUCAUAAGGAUGUCGAAAAUUGAUUGAUUAUUUCGAUUAAUCGAUUCAUCGUUGUGAUAAUCGAUUAAUUUUGAAUCGAUUACUAUACAAUGAUUAAUCGAUUCAAUAAUCGACAAGAAUCAAGAGUAAUCGAUUAGUAACUAAUCGAUUAAUCGGGAUUUUACGACAUCUCUAAGUCGCUGUCGUUGCUGUCUGGAACAUCUUUUGCUGGCAAUUAGGGUCUCGCCGACAUUUCUCACCAACACGAACGCAGGUUCGUGGUUGCAAACAAUCCCAUUUGAUUUUGCCGUGGCAGCUGCUCGUGGUUGCAAACAAACCGAGUAAAAGUGUGAGUGAAGCGUGCGUGUACGUACACGAUCGCUGAAAGCCUAAUGAUAGGGGAGCUAAAUGUCAAAGAAGGAAAAUCUAUACGAUUUGACAGGUAUGUACCACACAUGUUUCGGACAGCAGAACAAAGGGAACCGAAGCGACAAUCUUUAUCUAGUAACUAAAAUAUCUUUUGGAAGUACGUAGAUUUGAUAAAAAAUAAUCCAUAAAAACAAAUAAUGCUAUCUUUUUUUAGUAGGAAACGAAUAUAAAUGUAAAAUAAGGUAGAAAGAACCAUAUGAUCCUGCAGCAAAAAAAAACAUAUAGCUUGGAUUUAAGGUGAAUGCAAUUCAUUCAAAUAUGCAAUUACAUACUUUUUCUAUCAACCUAUCCUGGCAGAAUUAUAGACAAUACUAGCAGGCUAUCGUUUUCAUAUGAAAACAGCGCACCACUUCCGAAGUUAGGUUUAACGUACGGAUUGUGAGAAAAAUCCAACUUCGCUAUCCCCCAAUUCCGGUUUCCAACUGGAUUGAGAAUAUUUAUAUCAUCUAAUCUAAGUUAUCUAAUUUAUAAAUUCGCA